RNAcentral lists this ribosomal RNA (427 nucleotides) under uncultured bacterium. Its description in RNAcentral is "partial 16S ribosomal RNA". It matches the Rfam family "Bacterial small subunit ribosomal RNA", at positions 355 to 774 of the family's 1533-position model. The record is from RNAcentral.
UGGGGAAUAUUGCACAAUGGGCGCAAGCCUGAUGCAGCCAUGCCGCGUGUGUGAAGAAGGCCUUCGGGUUGUAAAGCACUUUCAGCGAGGAGGAAGGGUGGUGUGUUAAUAGCACAUCACAUUGACGUUACUCGCAGAAGAAGCACCGGCUAACUCCGUGCCAGCAGCCGCGGUAAUACGGAGGGGGCAAGCGUUAAUCGGAAUUACUGGGCGUAAAGCGCACGCAGGCGGUUUGUUAAGUCAGAUGUGAAAUCCCCGCGCUUAACGUGGGAACUGCAUUUGAAACUGGCAAGCUAGAGUCUUGUAGAGGGGGGUAGAAUUCCAGGUGUAGCGGUGAAAUGCGUAGAGAUCUGGAGGAAUACCGGUGGCGAAGGCGGCCCCCUGGACAAAGACUGACGCUCAGGUGCGAAAGCGUGGGGAGCAAACA